UACGUAGGGGGCAAGCGUUGUCCGGAAUCAUUGGGCGUAAAGAGCGUGUAGGCGGUCCGGUAAGUCGGCUGUGAAAGUCCAGGGCUCAACCCUGGGAUGCCGGUGGAUACUGUCGGGCUCGAGUCCGGAAGAGGAGUGUGGAAUUCCUGGUGUAGCGGUGAAAUGCGCAGAUAUCAGGAGGAACACCAAUGGCGAAGGCAGCACUCUGGGACGUGACUGACGCUGAGACGCGAAAGCGUGGGGAGCGAACCGG
Molecule: ribosomal RNA, 253 nt
Filed under: uncultured bacterium
Lineage: Bacteria
Description: partial 16S ribosomal RNA
Rfam family: Bacterial small subunit ribosomal RNA
Source: RNAcentral